RNAcentral lists this unclassified non-coding RNA (348 nucleotides) under soil metagenome. RNAcentral's name for it is "partial contains 5.8S ribosomal RNA, internal transcribed spacer 2, and large subunit ribosomal RNA". The stretch from base 1 to 120 matches the Rfam family "5.8S ribosomal RNA", at positions 35 to 154 of the family's 154-position model. The record is from RNAcentral.
GAUGAAGAACGCAGCAAAAUGCGAUAAGUAAUGUGAAUUGCAGAAUUCAGUGAAUCAUCGAAUCUUUGAACGCACAUUGCGCCCGCUGGUAUUACGGCGGGCAUGCCUGUUCGAGCGUCAUUUCAACCCUCAAGCCCCCGGGUUUGGUGUUGGGGAUCGGCUCUGCCCUUCUGGGCGGUGCCGCCCCCGAAAUACAUUGGCGGUCUCGCUGCAGCCUCCAUUGCGUAGUAGCUAACACCUCGCAACUGGAACGCGGCGCGGCCAUGCCGUAAAACCCCAACUUCUGAAUGUUGACCUCGGAUCAGGUAGGAAUACCCGCUGAACUUAAGCAUAUCAAUAAGCGGAGGA